The sequence is a transfer RNA, 82 nucleotides long. It matches the Rfam family "tRNA". Rfam says of the family: Transfer RNA (tRNA) molecules are approximately 80 nucleotides in length.
GACACUAUGGCCGAGUGGUUAAGGCGGAAGACUCGAAAUCUUCUGGGCUCUGCCCGCGCAGGUUCAAAUCCUGCUGGUGUCG